GGUGAAUACGUUCCCGGGCCUUGUACACACCGCCCGUCACACCAUGGGAGUGGGUUGCAAAAGAAGUAGGUAGCUUAACCUUCGGGGGGGCGCUUACCACUUUGUGAUUCAUGACUGGGGUGAAGUCGUAACAAGGUAACCGUAGGGGAACCUGCGGUUGGAUCACCUCCUUACCUUAAAGAAGC
This 185-nucleotide ribosomal RNA is filed under the name Salmonella enterica subsp. enterica serovar Typhi. RNAcentral's name for it is "partial 16S ribosomal RNA". It matches the Rfam family "Bacterial small subunit ribosomal RNA", at positions 1361 to 1533 of the family's 1533-position model. Lineage: Bacteria; Pseudomonadati; Pseudomonadota; Gammaproteobacteria; Enterobacterales; Enterobacteriaceae. The record is from RNAcentral.